This 345-nucleotide ribosomal RNA is filed under the name uncultured bacterium. Its description in RNAcentral is "partial 16S ribosomal RNA". It matches the Rfam family "Bacterial small subunit ribosomal RNA", at positions 338 to 680 of the family's 1533-position model. The record is from RNAcentral.
CCUACGGGUGACUGCAGUGAGGAAUAUUGGUCAAUGGGCGCGAGCCUGAACCAGCCAAGUCGCGUGAGGGAGGACGGCCCUACGGGUUGUAAACCUCGUUUGCCGGGGAGCAACGGGCGUCACGUGUGGCGCCACGGAGAGGACCCGGAGAAAAAGCAGCGGCUAACUCCGUGCCAGCAGCCGCGGUAAUACGGAGGAUGCGAGCGUUAGCCGGAUUUAUUGGGUUUAACGGGGGCGUAGGCGGAUCGUUAAGUCAGUGGUCAACUUGAGGGGCUCAACCCCUUCCCGCCAUUGAAACUGGCGCUCUUGAGUGGAAGAGACGUCUGCGGAAUGCGUGGUGUAGCG